This 45-nucleotide non-coding RNA is filed under the name Schistosoma mansoni. Lineage: Eukaryota; Metazoa; Platyhelminthes; Trematoda; Strigeidida; Schistosomatidae. The record is from RNAcentral.
AUACAGCUGACGAGUCCCGAAUGGGACGAAACGCGCGUCAUGCAU